This 586-nucleotide ribosomal RNA is filed under the name uncultured rumen bacterium. RNAcentral's name for it is "bacterial SSU rRNA". It matches the Rfam family "Bacterial small subunit ribosomal RNA", at positions 34 to 619 of the family's 1533-position model. The record is from RNAcentral.
CGCUGGCGGCGUGCUUAACACAUGCAAGUCGAACGAGAAUCACCGGAAGGAGUUUUCGGACAACGGAAGGUGAGGACAGUGGCGGACGGGUGAGUAACGCGUGAGGAACCUGCCUUUCAGAGGGGGACAACAGUUGGAAACGACUGCUAAUACCGCAUAACGCAUAGGUAUCGCAUGGUACUUAUGCCAAAGAUUUAUCGCUGAAAGAUGGCCUCGCGUCUGAUUAGCUGGUUGGUGAGGUAACGGCCCACCAAGGCGACGAUCAGUAGCCGGACUGAGAGGUUGACCGGCCACAUUGGGACUGAGAUACGGCCCAGACUCCUACGGGAGGCAGCAGUGGGGAAUAUUGGGCAAUGGGCGCAAGCCUGACCCAGCAACGCCGCGUGAAGGAAGAAGGCUUUCGGGUUGUAAACUUCUUUUGGCAGGGAAGAGGAGAAGACGGUACCUGCCGAAUAAGCCACGGCUAACUACGUGCCAGCAGCCGCGGUAAUACGUAGGUGGCAAGCGUUGUCCGGAUUUACUGGGUGUAAAGGGCGUGUAGCCGGGUUGGUAAGUCAGAUGUGAAAUGCACGGGCUUAACUCGUGA